UACAGAGGGGGCAAGCGUUGUUCGGAAUUACUGGGCGUAAAGGGCGCGUAGGCGGCCUUCUAAGUCGAACGUGAAAUCCCCGGGCUUAACCUGGGAACUGCAUCCGAUACUGGAUGGCUUGAAUCCGGGAGAGGGAUGCAGAAUUCCAGGUGUAGCGGUGAAAUGCGUAGAUAUCUGGAGGAAUACCGGUGGCGAAGGCGGCAUCCUGGACCGGCAUUGACGCUGAGUGAGCGAAAGCCAGGGGAGCAAACGGG
This 254-nucleotide ribosomal RNA is filed under the name uncultured bacterium. RNAcentral describes it as "partial 16S ribosomal RNA". It matches the Rfam family "Bacterial small subunit ribosomal RNA", at positions 524 to 776 of the family's 1533-position model. The record is from RNAcentral.